This 865-nucleotide ribosomal RNA is filed under the name uncultured bacterium. RNAcentral's name for it is "bacterial SSU rRNA". It matches the Rfam family "Bacterial small subunit ribosomal RNA", at positions 9 to 873 of the family's 1533-position model. The record is from RNAcentral.
GAUUGUUUGAUCAUGGCUCAGGAUGAACGCUAGCGGCAGGCUUAACACAUGCAAGUCGAAGGGGUAGAGAGUGCUUGCACUCUUGAGACCGGCGCACGGGUGCGUAACGCGUAUGCAAUCUACCUUUUACAGAGGGAUAGCCCAGAGAAAUUUGGAUUAAUACCUCAUAGUAUUAUUAAUUGGCAUCAAUUGAUAAUUAAAGCUGAGGCGGUAAAAGAUGAGCAUGCGUUCUAUUAGCUAGAUGGAGUGGUAACGGCACCCCAUGGCAACGAUAGAUAGGGGCCCUGAGAGGGGGAUCCCCCACACUGGUACUGAGACACGGACCAGACUCCUACGGGAGGCAGCAGUGAGGAAUAUUGGACAAUGGGCGAGAGCCUGAUCCAGCCAUGCCGCGUGCAGGAAGACGGUCCUAUGGAUUGUAAACUGCUUUUAUACGGGAAGAAACACCCCCUCGUGAGGGGGCUUGACGGUACCGUAAGAAUAAGGAUCGGCUAACUCCGUGCCAGCAGCCGCGGUAAUACGGAGGAUCCAAGCGUUAUCCGGAAUCAUUGGGUUUAAAGGGUCCGUAGGUGGAUAAUUAAGUCAGAGGUGAAAUCCUGCAGCUCAACUGUAGAAUUGCCUUUGAUACUGGUUAUCUUGAAUUAUUAUGAAGUAGUUAGAAUAUGUAGUGUAGCGGUGAAAUGCAUAGAUAUUACAUAGAAUACCAAUUGCGAAGGCAGAUUACUAAUAAUUGAUUGACACUGAUGGACGAAAGCGUGGGGAGCGAACAGGAUUAGAUACCCUGGUAGUCCACGCCGUAAACGAUGGAUACUAGCUGUUCGGAGCAAUCUGAGUGGCUAAGCGAAAGUGAUAAGUUCCCACCUGG